UACGCAGGAAUCUACCUAGCAGUAAGGAAUAACUCUCGGAAACGGGUGCUAAUGCCAUAUAUUACCGAUUUAUCGGGAAAGAUUUAUCGCUGUUAGAUGAGCCUGUAUCAGAUUAGUUUGUUGGUGGGGUAAUGGCCUACCAAGGCGAUGAUCUGUAGCUGGUCUGAGAGGAUGAUCAGCCACACUGGGACUGAGACACGGCCCAGACUCCUACGGGAGGCAGCAGUGGGGAAUAUUGGACAAUGGGCGAAAGCCUGAUCCAGCAAUACCAUGUGAAUGAUGAAGGCCUUAGGGUUGUAA
This 300-nucleotide ribosomal RNA is filed under the name uncultured Rickettsiales bacterium. Its description in RNAcentral is "bacterial SSU rRNA". It matches the Rfam family "Bacterial small subunit ribosomal RNA", at positions 114 to 428 of the family's 1533-position model. The record is from RNAcentral. Lineage: Bacteria; Pseudomonadati; Pseudomonadota; Alphaproteobacteria; Rickettsiales.